RNAcentral lists this ribosomal RNA (832 nucleotides) under Neoceratosperma cyatheae. RNAcentral's name for it is "eukaryotic LSU rRNA". It matches the Rfam family "Eukaryotic large subunit ribosomal RNA", at positions 65 to 930 of the family's 3401-position model. Lineage: Eukaryota; Fungi; Ascomycota; Dothideomycetes; Mycosphaerellales; Mycosphaerellaceae. The record is from RNAcentral.
CCAACAGGGAUUGCCCUAGUAACGGCGAGUGAAGCGGCAACAGCUCAAAUUUGAAAUCUGGCGCAAGCCCGAGUUGUAAUUUGUAGAGGAUGCUUCUGGGCAGCGGCCGUUCUAAGUUCCUUGGAACAGGACGUCAUAGAGGGUGAGAAUCCCGUACGUGACCGGCGCGCACCCUCCACGUAGCUCCUUCGACGAGUCGAGUUGUUUGGGAAUGCAGCUCUAAAUGGGAGGUAAAUUUCUUCUAAAGCUAAAUACCGGCCAGAGACCGAUAGCGCACAAGUAGAGUGAUCGAAAGAUGAAAAGCACUUUGGAAAGAGAGUUAAAAAGCACGUGAAAUUGUUGAAAGGGAAGCGCUUACAACCAGACUUCGGGGCGGUGUUCCGCCGGUCUUCUGACCGGUCCACUCGCCGCCGCGAGGCCAGCAUCACCUGGGGCCGCCGGAUAAGACCGUAGGAAUGUGGCUCCCCUCGGGGAGUGUUAUAGCCUGCGGUGAUGCGGCGCGCCUCGGGUGAGGUCCGCACUUCGGUAAGGAUGCUGGCGUAAUGGUUGUCAGCGGCCCGUCUUGAAACACGGACCAAGGAGUCUAACAUCUAUGCGAGUGUUCGGGUGUCAAACCCCUACGCGUAAUGAAAGUGAACGGAGGUGGGAACGCAAGUGCACCAUCGACCGAUCCUGAUGUCCUCGGAUGGAUUUGAGUAAGAGCAUAGCUGUUGGGACCCGAAAGAUGGUGAACUAUGCCUGAAUAGGGUGAAGCCAGAGGAAACUCUGGUGGAGGCUCGCAGCGGUUCUGACGUGCAAAUCGAUCGUCAAAUUUGGGUAUAGGGGCGAAAGA